This 2206-nucleotide ribosomal RNA is filed under the name Escherichia coli. Its description in RNAcentral is "partial 23S ribosomal RNA". It matches the Rfam family "Bacterial large subunit ribosomal RNA", at positions 612 to 2803 of the family's 2925-position model. Lineage: Bacteria; Pseudomonadati; Pseudomonadota; Gammaproteobacteria; Enterobacterales; Enterobacteriaceae. The record is from RNAcentral.
AUAAUGGGUCAGCGACUUAUAUUCUGUAGCAAGGUUAACCGAAUAGGGGAGCCGAAGGGAAACCGAGUCUUAACUGGGCGUUAAGUUGCAGGGUAUAGACCCGAAACCCGGUGAUCUAGCCAUGGGCAGGUUGAAGGUUGGGUAACACUAACUGGAGGACCGAACCGACUAAUGUUGAAAAAUUAGCGGAUGACUUGUGGCUGGGGGUGAAAGGCCAAUCAAACCGGGAGAUAGCUGGUUCUCCCCGAAAGCUAUUUAGGUAGCGCCUCGUGAAUUCAUCUCCGGGGGUAGAGCACUGUUUCGGCAAGGGGGUCAUCCCGACUUACCAACCCGAUGCAAACUGCGAAUACCGGAGAAUGUUAUCACGGGAGACACACGGCGGGUGCUAACGUCCGUCGUGAAGAGGGAAACAACCCAGACCGCCAGCUAAGGUCCCAAAGUCAUGGUUAAGUGGGAAACGAUGUGGGAAGGCCCAGACAGCCAGGAUGUUGGCUUAGAAGCAGCCAUCAUUUAAAGAAAGCGUAAUAGCUCACUGGUCGAGUCGGCCUGCGCGGAAGAUGUAACGGGGCUAAACCAUGCACCGAAGCUGCGGCAGCGACGCUGAUGCGUUGUUGGGUAGGGGAGCGUUCUGUAAGCCUGUGAAGGUGUGCUGUGAGGCAUGCUGGAGGUAUCAGAAGUGCGAAUGCUGACAUAAGUAACGAUAAAGCGGGUGAAAAGCCCGCUCGCCGGAAGACCAAGGGUUCCUGUCCAACGUUAAUCGGGGCAGGGUGAGUCGACCCCUAAGGCGAGGCCGAAAGGCGUAGUCGAUGGGAAACAGGUUAAUAUUCCUGUACUUGGUGUUACUGCGAAGGGGGGACGGAGAAGGCUAUGUUGGCCGGGCGACGGUUGUCCCGGUUUAAGCGUGUAGGCUGGUUUUCCAGGCAAAUCCGGAAAAUCAAGGCUGAGGCGUGAUGACGAGGCACUACGGUGCUGAAGCAACAAAUGCCCUGCUUCCAGGAAAAGCCUCUAAGCAUCAGGUAACAUCAAAUCGUACCCCAAACCGACACAGGUGGUCAGGUAGAGAAUACCAAGGCGCUUGAGAGAACUCGGGUGAAGGAACUAGGCAAAAUGGUGCCGUAACUUCGGGAGAAGGCACGCUGAUAUGUAGGUGAAGUCCCUCGCGGAUGGAGCUGAAAUCAGUCGAAGAUACCAGCUGGCUGCAACUGUUUAUUAAAAACACAGCACUGUGCAAACACGAAAGUGGACGUAUACGGUGUGACGCCUGCCCGGUGCCGGAAGGUUAAUUGAUGGGGUCAGCGCAAGCGAAGCUCUUGAUCGAAGCCCCGGUAAACGGCGGCCGUAACUAUAACGGUCCUAAGGUAGCGAAAUUCCUUGUCGGGUAAGUUCCGACCUGCACGAAUGGCGUAAUGAUGGCCAGGCUGUCUCCACCCGAGACUCAGUGAAAUUGAACUCGCUGUGAAGAUGCAGUGUACCCGCGGCAAGACGGAAAGACCCCGUGAACCUUUACUAUAGCUUGACACUGAACAUUGAGCCUUGAUGUGUAGGAUAGGUGGGAGGCUUUGAAGUGUGGACGCCAGUCUGCAUGGAGCCGGCCUUGAAAUACCACCCUUUAAUGUUUGAUGUUCUAACGUUGACCCGUGAUCCGGGUUGCGGACAGUGUCUGGUGGGUAGUUUGACUGGGGCGGUCUCCUCCUAAAGAGUAACGGAGGAGCACGAAGGUUGGCUAAUCCUGGUCGGACAUCAGGAGGUUAGUGCAAUGGCAUAAGCCAGCUUGACUGCGAGCGUGACGGCGCGAGCAGGUGCGAAAGCAGGUCAUAGUGAUCCGGUGGUUCUGAAUGGAAGGGCCAUCGCUCAACGGAUAAAAGGUACUCCGGGGAUAACAGGCUGAUACCGCCCAAGAGUUCAUAUCGACGGCGGUGUUUGGCACCUCGAUGUCGGCUCAUCACAUCCUGGGGCUGAAGUAGGUCCCAAGGGUAUGGCUGUUCGCCAUUUAAAGUGGUACGCGAGCUGGGUUUAGAACGUCGUGAGACAGUUCGGUCCCUAUCUGCCGUGGGCGCUGGAGAACUGAGGGGGGCUGCUCCUAGUACGAGAGGACCGGAGUGGACGCAUCACUGGUGUUCGGGUUGUCAUGCCAAUGGCACUGCCCGGUAGCUAAAUGCGGAAGAGAUAAGUGCUGAAAGCAUCUAAGCACGAAACUUGCCCCGAG